This is a long non-coding RNA of Lolium rigidum, 1029 nucleotides long. RefSeq lists it as uncharacterized. Lineage: Eukaryota; Viridiplantae; Streptophyta; Magnoliopsida; Poales; Poaceae. The transcript has 4 exons. The record is from RefSeq and is a predicted model, not a curated record.
GAUCUCUUUUCCUCGAUACUAGCUCAUAUAAAAGUUGAACUUUGUGGCCAACUCUUAAACUAAUUUGCAUUACUACCAGGUUUCUUCGUUCCUCAUACUCUCUUGGGCUGGCAUCAUAGAGAGGGUAGCUGGAGGUUGUUUUAACUUGGUAUCGACUGCCGCAAUCAACCUUGAUGUAAUAGAUGGGGACGGUGCACGACCUGGAGACAGGAAGCGUGAUAUAUCAAAAAGUAAUUGACUGUUCAUGGUAAAUCUCGCUGCACCCUGCAUGUACAGAAUAUUACUCCCACAACCAUGCAAGGAGAAGAUGAGCCCAAUGCAGCACCUUCCCCUGCCGCUCACCAUGCCUUCCAAACAUUACUCCCACAACCAUGCAAGGAGAAGAUGAGCCCAAUGCAGCACCUUCCCCUGCCGCUCACCAUGCCUUCCAGUAAGGACAAAAAUCUGCACCUGUCCUCGCUUCCCCGUCCCAAACUGCAAUUCCGGCCAUUGAUAACUGGAGCACCCAUCUUACCUAAUCUGCUAAGUAAUAAGUACCAGCGUACAUCAGUACCAUCUCAAAAAAAGCGUACAUCAGUACCAUUAGCUGAUCUGCCAGUUAGGUAGCUCUAUGUAAUGAAGUAGCAAUGUAAGUUAUAGCCCUAGCUCAUCUAACACUUAUGUCACACGAUCCUAAUAGCUAUUUAAUCCUGUAGGAAAAUAUAUAAGCAUGAACAGCUAAUUCGUGUACUCUUCCCACAUGUAUAACUUCUUAAUCACGUCGUGUAACUAUACGCAAUGUGUUGUAUCUAUAUAAGGACUCACUUUUCAGAUUUCAGAACAUAGUUAUGUUAAGAUUGAGCGGGAAUGUUAAGAUAGUUAGGCAAGAAUCCUAACCAUCCUUUCCUAACUAUAUAUUCAGGAACAGAAAAUUGACAUAUAAGGAGACACUUUUCAGAUUGCCGCAUGAAGAGUUGUUGAAUAGCCUGAUGAUAUGAAAAUUGUAUAGAGGGUAGACCAGAGGUGCUACCUUCGCGGGCAUACCGCAAG